ACCAGGAUUCCCCCAGUAACGGCGAAGUGAACGGGGAUUAGCCCAGCAUCGAAGCCUAUGCCUAUUUGGGUGUAAGGCCAUGUGAUGUUAUGGGGUGUGCCUAGGGUCACUAAUCAACUCGAAGUCCAAUAUUGAAUGUGGCUUAUAUAUUAAUCCCACAGCGGGUGAUAGGCCCGUGCGAGUUGAUUGUCCGUCAUGGUAGUGGCCUCUAGAUGCAUACUCUAUGGAGUCGGAUUGCUUGAGAAUGCAGUCCAAAGUUGGUGGUAAACUCCAUCAAAGGCUAAAUACUGGCACGAGUCCGAUAGUAAACAAGUACCGUGAGGGAAAGUUGAAAAGUACUCUGAAGAGAGAGUAAAUAGUACGUGAAACCACAUACAGGUAAACGGGUGGAGUCCAGCUGCGUGCUGUAUGGACUUAUCUGGUGUGUGCAAAUACAGAUGAUAUAACUGUCAUAUAUGGUUUGUCUAUAAUGACAAGUGUGACUUUAUGUUGCAUUCAUGUUCCAUCCUGUACGUGGUAUGAGCCAUAUAUGAUGUCUGUUUGCAUGCCAGUGUUCUUCCAUAUGGCUGACAUCACAGUCAAUAUUGCUGCUAGUGUGUGAUGCUCAAACCGUGAAGUAGCGGGCCUUGAAGUUCGCUCUUUACGUGGAUGGCAGGUGGUUCAGUUGUUUACUUUUAUUAGUGAACUUCUGAGCUUAAUAAUGGCUGCGGCCAGCCGAGUAUCAUGCAGUCAUAUUUAAUGCUUGCAUUAAACUAUGCAGUAUAUUGGUGAUGAGUCUCAUAGCCUAAUAGUGCUGUUAUCAUGUUGGCUCACGAUGAGUUAUGUGUAAAAGCGUGCUCAGUGUGUAGUUUCAAUAUGUGUAAUGGUAUUUAUGCGGUUGUGUCUCUUUUGCAGUAACUGUGUUUGCGU
RNAcentral lists this ribosomal RNA (909 nucleotides) under Loimopapillosum sp. n. AGO-2021. RNAcentral's name for it is "partial large subunit ribosomal RNA". It matches the Rfam family "Eukaryotic large subunit ribosomal RNA", at positions 68 to 639 of the family's 3401-position model. The record is from RNAcentral. Lineage: Eukaryota; Metazoa; Platyhelminthes; Monogenea; Monocotylidea; Loimoidae.